Molecule: long non-coding RNA, 327 nt
Filed under: Lathyrus oleraceus (garden pea)
Lineage: Eukaryota; Viridiplantae; Streptophyta; Magnoliopsida; Fabales; Fabaceae
Description: Pisum sativum (pea) long non-coding RNA (PSAT_LNC032052)
Source: RNAcentral
AAUGCUCAUCUAAGUGUAAACUGUUAUAAUAUGACUUAAGGCGUGAAAGGAGUAUACCUUGACCUCUUGAGUUAUCAUCUAACAAAUCAGUCUCCAAGAGGUCCAUGCAAAUUGAAUUUGCAUAGUUGGUUUUACCAUUUACAGUCUUACCUUCAAUGGGCAGUCCCAAAGUUAUCAUCUAACAAAUCAGUCUCCAAGAGGUCCAUGCAAAUUGAAUUUGCAUAGUUGGUUUUACCAUUUACAGUCUUACCUUCAAUGGGCAGUCCCAAAAGCAUGUAGACGUCUUCUAACGUCACAGUACACUCACCGGUUGAAAACCAGAAUGUG